Molecule: long non-coding RNA, 1312 nt
Filed under: Rhinopithecus bieti (black snub-nosed monkey)
Lineage: Eukaryota; Metazoa; Chordata; Mammalia; Primates; Cercopithecidae
Description: lncRNA (ENSRBIG00000046204.1)
Source: RNAcentral
UUGGAAGUAGACACACCAGGACCUGGAUCCAGGAGGAAGAGGCCUGUGUGUGUCAGGGUGGGAGGAGAUGGUAUUUGACGCUAGUGAAAAUGCAGAUUCCCAGGCCCCACCAGCUGCAGUGCUGGCUCUAGGGUGGGGCCAGGGAGUGUUUCUUAAGCACCCUGGGUGAAGCCAACACAGGUGGUAGAGAUCCAGGCUCUUCCCUGGGGCCCGAGUUUGCCACGGGCUUGCACAAGGCUGGGGCAGGUGUGGAUUGUAUUAACCAGUCCCUUAUUAAUCUUUCAGGCUCAGGCCCAUCUGUAUCUCUCUGGAUUCCCCACAACCCGAGGAGGAUGUUCCCGGAUCUCGGAGAGUGUGAGAACUCAAGAGGUGGCAGUUCACUAGGGACUGGGCUGUGUGCCUCAUGGCAAAAGUCCCAGCAAGAACAGGGAAGGACUAGAAGGCACCUGUGGAUGAGGCCAGGAGGAGUCUGGAAAAUCACCGGGGAAUGUUGAUCAGCGAGCACGGUGAGAACCUUGAAACUUUGCUGUGGUCAAGUUCAUCAGUCAUUCUAUAGUUUUUGAAAAACUUCUUUGUAAAAGUCUGUAAUAAUGCGAAGUCCAUGACUUUGAUUCAAAUAGCUUGAGGAUUUGCUAAAGUUUACUUUUGUGUGUGAUAACAGUGUUCCAAUGUACUGACUCUCUGGAUGCACAGGCAGUUGUCUUAAGACUAUGGAAGAGUCUUUCUGUGCUCAUGUGAAAUACCCCCUUUAACAUCUAGUAAACCUAUGUCUCUACCCGGGUUUACGUUUUUUCAUGGGUUUGUGUAUUCCUGCCCUGGUUUUGUAGAGCUUUGUAAUGUUUUUGGUAUCUAGUGGUCAAAGUUUCCUUUUUUCCUUCCCAAAAUUGCCCUAGCUCUUCUGUAUUUCAGAAUAAGUUUGUCACAUUCUACAAAGAAUUGGCCUGGGACUAGGGUUGUGAUGCAUUAAAUUCAUAAAAUUUGGGAAGAACUGACCUACAUCGUUGAGUCUUUCUCAUUCAUGAGGAUAUUAUAAGUCUCCUGUCAUUCAGGAAAGAUUUACAGCUUUUUCUAUAGAGAUCAUUUAAAAUAAGACUUAGCUUUGUGGCUAUUGUUUUUAAAAAGCUUCCUAUUGGCCGGGCGCGGUGGCUCAAGCCUGUAAUCCCAGCACUUUGGGAGGCCAAGACGGGUGGAUCACGAGGUCAGGAGAUCGAGACCAUCCUGGCUAACACAGUGAAACCCUGUCUCUACUAAAAAAAUACAAAAAACUAGCCGGGCAAGGUGGCGGCUGCCUGUAGUCCCAGCUACUCGGGAG